Molecule: ribosomal RNA, 458 nt
Filed under: uncultured bacterium
Lineage: Bacteria
Description: partial 16S ribosomal RNA
Rfam family: Bacterial small subunit ribosomal RNA
Source: RNAcentral
CCUACGGGAGGCAGCAGUGAGGAAUAUUGGUCAAUGGGCGAGAGCCUGAACCAGCCAAGUCGCGUGAGGGAGUACUGCCCUAUGGGUUGUAAACCUCUUUUGUCGGGGAGCAAAAGCCGGACGUGUCCGGCUGUGAGAGUACCCGAAGAAAAAGCAUCGGCUAACUCCGUGCCAGCAGCCGCGGUAAUACGGAGGAUGCGAGCGUUAUCCGGAUUUAUUGGGUUUAAAGGGUGCGGAGGCGGAUUUUUAAGUCAGCGGUAAAAUCGUGGGGCUCAACCCCAUCCAGCCGUUGAAACUGGGGAUCUAGAGUGUGCGAGAGGUAUGCGGAAUGCGUGGUGUAGCGGUGAAAUGCAUAGAUAUCACGCAGAACCCCGAUUGCGAAGGCAGCAUACCGGUGCACAACUGACGCUCAGGCACGAAAGCGUGGGUAUCGAACAGGAUUAGAUACCCCGGUAGUC